Molecule: ribosomal RNA, 497 nt
Filed under: uncultured bacterium
Lineage: Bacteria
Description: partial 16S ribosomal RNA
Rfam family: Bacterial small subunit ribosomal RNA
Source: RNAcentral
GAUGAACGCUGGCGGCGUGCCUAAUACAUGCAAGUCGAGCGAACAGACGAGGAGCUUGCUCCUCUGACGUUAGCGGCGGACGGGUGAGUAACACGUGGAUAACCUACCUAUAAGACUGGGAUAACUUCGGGAAACCGGAGCUAAUACCGGAUAAUAUAUUGAACCGCAUGGUUCAAUAGUGAAAGACGGUUUUGCCGUCACUUAUAGAUGGAUCCGCGCCGCAUUAGCUAGUUGGUAAGGUAACGGCUUACCAAGGCAACGAUGCGUAGCCGACCUGAGAGGGUGAUCGGCCACACGGGAACUGAGACACGGUCCAGACUCCUACGGGAGGCAGCAGUAGGGAAUCUUCCGCAAUGGGCGAAAGCCUGACGGAGCAACGCCGCGUGAGUGAUGAAGGUCUUCGGAUCGUAAAACUCUGUUAUUAGGGAAGAACAAAUGUGUAAGUAACUAUGCACGUCUUGACGGUACCUAAUCAGAAAGCCACGGCUAACUACGUG